RNAcentral lists this long non-coding RNA (890 nucleotides) under Equus asinus (donkey). Its description in RNAcentral is "lncRNA (ENSEASG00005034741.1)". Lineage: Eukaryota; Metazoa; Chordata; Mammalia; Perissodactyla; Equidae. The record is from RNAcentral.
AUGUGUUUGAAGGUCAGCUUUCCGGCUGGGUUACUCUUUAUCUUGGAGCCCACCUUUAACUCUGGCAUGAGUGUCCUUCUCUGUGUGGCUGAUUUGCAAGGCUGGUUUUUAGUGGAGGCGAGCACCUUGGGGAGGAUGAACACUUUACCCAGGCUGGAGGACAUGGGGACCCCAGGAGUCCAGGAGGAUAUUUCAUCUGAACCAAGUCCGGGGGAGGACAUUCUGGAGAGGGAAGACAUGAAGGCAAGAAGAGCAUGUCAUCUUCUGGGUGCAAGUAAUUCCACGUGCUCCUUUAGAAGCAGAGUGACGGGAGCAGAAAGGGGCAGGAGUUGGAUGGACCAGGCAACACACAUGAAGGUGUUUUCAAAGAUCUCAUGCCCAGUUUCAUCUCUCCAGUGGGGUUUUGAAUCUUUGGCUAGUUCCAGUGUUUGUAUGAUGUCAUUACCUGAGCAGGUCACCUCCAAGGUCUGCGGGAGAUGGAUAGAACCAGCAUAGUUCUGCAACUUAACAAUCUGUGCAAACUAGAACCUUUUAUUGUCCUCACUGAGCCUCCUUCAUCAAGUCUUUCAUUGAGCACCUCUGAUGUGGCAGUCAGUGUUCCAUGCAGAGGGGAUACAGCUAUAAACAAGGUAUCAGAUCUUGGGAAGCUUAUAUUCCGGAGGGGAAGACAGACAACAAACAAAUAAUCUAGGAAAGCACCAGACUGUGAUGAGCAUCAUGUAGCAACGAUGGCUUGUGUCCUCCUUAUAUGCUUCCACUGGGUCUUGUGCGUUUUCUCCAAUUUUCUUUAGUACCCUCUAAUUGUUUGUGUAUUUAUUUCCUCCAUUAGAAUGUAAGUUUAUGAGAAGAAGGGACCUUGUCGUUUUUGUUCUAAAUUCCCAGUUCCCAAA